AGAUUAAGUUAUUAAGGGCGCACGGUGGAUGCCUUGGCACUAGAAGCCGAUGAAGGACGUUACUAACGACGAUAUGCUUUGGGUAGCUGUAAGUAAGCAUUGAUCCAGAGAUUUCCGAAUGGGGAAACCCAGCACAAGUUAUGUUGUGUUAUCGACAUGUGAAUACAUAGCAUGUUAGAAGGCAGACCCGGAGAACUGAAACAUCUUAGUACCCGGAGGAAGAGAAAGAAAAAUCGAUUCCCUGAGUAGCGGCGAGCGAAACGGGAAGAGCCCAAACCAAUAAGCUUGCUUAUUGGGGUUGUAGGACACUCUAUACGGAGUUACAAAGGAAUAUAUUAGACGAAUCAUCUGGAAAGAUGAAUCAAAGAAGGUAAUAAUCCUGUAGUUGAAAAUAUAUUCUCUCUUGAGUGGAUCCUGAGUACGACGGAGCACGUGAAAUUCCGUCGGAAUCUGGGAGGACCAUCUCCUAAGGCUAAAUACUCUCUAGUGACCGAUAGUGAACCAGUACCGUGAGGGAAAGGUGAAAAGUACCCCGGAAGGGGAGUGAAAGAGAACUUGAAACCGUGUGCUUACAAGUAGUCAGAGCCCGUUAAUGGGUGAUGGCGUGCCUUUUGUAGAAUGAACCGGCGAGUUACGAUUUGAUGCAAGGUUAAGCAGGAAAUGUGGAGCCGUAGCGAAAGCGAGUCUGAAUAGGGCGUUGAGUAUUUGGUCGUAGACCCGAAACCAGGUGAUCUACCCUUGGUCAGGUUGAAGUUCAGGUAACACUGAAUGGAGGACCGAACCGACUUACGUUGAAAAGUGAGCGGAUGAACUGAGGGUAGCGGAGAAAUUCCAAUCGAACUUGGAGAUAGCUGGUUCUCUCCGAAAUAGCUUUAGGGCUAGCCUCAAGUGAUGAUUAUUGGAGGUAGAGCACUGUUUGGACGAGGGGCCCCUCUCGGGUUACCGAAUUCAGACAAACUCCGAAUGCCAAUUAAUUUAACUUGGGAGUCAGAACAUGGGUGAUAAGGUCCGUGUUCGAAAGGGAAACAGCCCAGACCACCAGCUAAGGUCCCAAAAUAUAUGUUAAGUGGAAAAGGAUGUGGCGUUGCCCAGACAACUAGGAUGUUGGCUUAGAAGCAGCCAUCAUUUAAAGAGUGCGUAAUAGCUCA
RNAcentral lists this ribosomal RNA (1148 nucleotides) under Staphylococcus sp. HMSC068D05. Its description in RNAcentral is "bacterial LSU rRNA". It matches the Rfam family "Bacterial large subunit ribosomal RNA", at positions 1 to 1144 of the family's 2925-position model. Lineage: Bacteria; Bacillati; Bacillota; Bacilli; Caryophanales; Staphylococcaceae. The record is from RNAcentral.